Peromyscus leucopus (white-footed mouse) is the source of this 3425-nucleotide long non-coding RNA. RefSeq lists it as uncharacterized. Lineage: Eukaryota; Metazoa; Chordata; Mammalia; Rodentia; Cricetidae. The record is from RefSeq and is a predicted model, not a curated record. The transcript is spliced from 4 exons.
UCAGCUCCUCCAGGGUCUCAGCUCCUCCAGGGUCUCAGCUCCUCCAGGGUCUCAGCUCCUCCAUCCCUCAGUUUCCUAGGACAUGCAGCAGAGGGAACCCCUCCCCUGGACAUUUGUGCCAGUCUUGUCUGACCCUGCUUUACCUGAUAACCAAAGAUAACCAGGAUAACCAAAGAAAAUAAGCUCCCUUCACCUUCUUAGAAAGCAGCAUAAGCCUAGCUGUGCAUGUGUGUGCUGCAGGCGUGUGCACUGGGUUCUGUGUACACUUGUGGGUUGUGUGAGUGUGCUCAUGAGUGUGUGCACUGCAUGCAUGCCAAUCGAAUGUGUGUGAAGAAUGCUUUAAAGGUGAGUGAGACAGAUGUGUGUUAUGAAUAUGUGUGUGUGUGUGUGUGUGUGUGUGUGUGUGUGUGUGUGUGUGUGAUGGUCAUUCCAUGCACAGGCCAACAGACUGCCCUGCUACGCAGACAUGCCUUGAGUUGUGGAAAUGAAAAGCCAGGCCUCUGCUGUGGGGCCUGGAGGCCAGGGAGGUGGAGGCUUCCAUUCAGCCCGUGGACCUCAGGAACACAAACAUCAAUAAUUCAGUGUUUCAAAACUUCAGAAAUCUCUACAGUUUUUUUUUUUUUCCUUCUUCUCCUUUUGAUUCAGGGUCUUAAUGAAAGUCCAAGCAUUCCAAGGAUAGUUUAAUAUUUAAACAGUUGUCUUCACUCUGAAGGUCAGCCCAGCGUGUAGGGAGUGAGACAGGGCCAGGGUUGGAGGAGGUAGGGGAGGGCUUGGGACUGGAGGCUGGAGGAGAGAAAGAAGGGGGAUGGGAGAUGAGGAAGGUCUACACUCUGCCCCGACUGGCCCAUGGCCAGAGCCUUUUCUGCCUCAGGCUUCUAGAUGUGUCAGGUAAGUCUUUUCAUGAACACUGAGUCCCCAGGCUCCCACAAGGGACCUGCUUGUAGUCCUUAAGCACGAGGCAUCCGUGUGUCCUGGCCACCCGUGGGGCCUCCCUGCUGGGUACAGAUACCUGACUAGUAGGGGUGGCCCCCUGAAGGAGACCUUGGAGGCAGGGCUCUCCCAGCUCGGAGAGUGCUGCCUGCCUGCUAGCUCAAGGCUGGAGCUGUGGGAUCUGUCCUUCACAGCAGAACCCUUUGAGACACAGGAGCUGUGACAGUUGCAGCAGGGCCAGAGGACAGGACUGUCCUGGGUAAGUAGGAACAAGGGAGGGGCAGCUGGGGCCCCUGCUGCACUCGAGUUAAACUGUUCACGGCCUUUUCCAGUUCGACUUUGCCUCGCCUGAAGAAGGCUUUGCCAGGAAAAGUGAGCUGGUUUUCAAGUGCAAGGGGCUUCAUUUAUGUGGCCGAGGGUGGUUUAAAAAAGCCAAAUACAGCUACGGGCUAAAGCAGAGUGCUCUCGGAGAAAGCAGUUCUGAAGGACAGCCCAGGCUGGGCGGGAGGGAGGCUGUCCACCUUCGGGGUCUAUGGGGAUGAUGGAAUGUGACAGGCAAUGGGACACAGCUGAUAGCCAGGCUGUGUGAUCAGAGUGUGUUUGACCAUUUAUGGUGCCCACACUCCAGAGUCUUCAAAUGGAAAAGCAUCCAGACCCCAAACCACGCGUGAAUGAGGAGCCUGGUGCCCUGGCCAUGAGCCUGUCAGUGUGCCCAGGCCAGGGCUGGUAGUGCUGCCUCGGGAGCUAGUGUAUAGAAAAGGCCCAGGGGCUUGCUCACGGCAGAGUUCAUAGUGGGCCAGUGUUAGCUGCUGUGCACAGCAUCUCUGGGCAUCUCUGUGGAGAUGGGUACUGCUGAGCACUGGUAUGCUCACUGGGUCCGAGGAAUGUCUGGGGAUGGACUCUUCACCCCUGACCCCAGACAGCACCUUCUCAUGAACCCGGGAGCAGCCCUGAUGUUCCUAUCUCACAUCACGCAGGGGUGGCCCUGUCCCCAGCCCUCCAGAUGACUCCCAGCUCUCAUUAGCAUCUUGCAAGGUGGGCUUUUUCCUGCCCUAGGCGGAAGUGUCCACAGGGGUCUCAGAGUGCUCUCUGGGGCCUUCCAUCCCCUCUCCAGCCUACUUCCUCAUCAGCACCUGGACUGUGCCCUGCUCUCCAUGAGACCUAGCACUCUAAGACCUCAGGACAUGCUACACAUUCAUGCAACACCACUGAAUGGUGCCUGCACCGCCGUGAGAGGUUGAGUGGGGUGGCUAGUUGCCCGCAUGGUACUGCUUCCAGGAACCCCUGCGGGAAGCUCGUAAAGGGCGGGAGCAGCCUUUUACAGGGCCUGGAGAGCUGACUUGCCAAGCGCACCUCUGAGGCUUCUUUGAGGAGCUUUAGAUUUUUGCAAAGGCAACAUAAAAACAGCCCUAACAGUGGGGACCAGCUCACACUAUAAGAGGCAGGAGUUGGGGGUCCACUCAGUACUCUUGUAUUCACCUACACCCUGCCCCCCUUGUGGGUCGUUGAGUCAACACUGCCAGGACUCCCAGUGUCCCUGAGUUCCCCUUGACCCCUCAGAGUCUCCCAGGGUGUCCUUUCUUCUGACCUCUGACCUCCGCUGCGUGUCCAACUCCUCUCCAUGAUUGUGUGGCUGUGAGUCUAAAGCUGAGGAAGAGCCUGAUCCCAAAUACCAGCAGCCAGAGAGCAUCCGGUCCCCGGCAUCUGGCACCAGCCAGCCCCACCGGAAGCAAGGAGGCAGCGCCUCUGACCUCAGGGUGCUCCUCUGGAGUGGCAAGGACAAGGCCCCGACAAGUCAUUCAGCAAGUGGCCAGCCACAUGCCAACAGAGCCUGGAGACAGAAGCCACCCACCGGCACCAACCAGAAGCUCACCCGAGUGGCUUUUUCUCAUUGCCGUGUGAGUAUUCGCAAUGCAGCUUUGACCCUGAGCCCGAGACAGCGAGGAAACUGUGGCGUGCACGCCCUGGCGUGUGAGUGACUAUUGUCUGAGAGUCCCAGGGCCACCCCUGCUUCUUCCUUAGUCAGAACAGCACGACCUGUGGGUGAGUUCGUUGGGUCAUGUCCACGUCUCUUGGUUAUCCCGGUUGUGUCUUAAAAACAGUAGACCUAUGAGGGAGAGUGCACCUGUGCGCCACGGCUUCCCCCACACUGGGGUGGGACACUGGCACAGGGGGUGGGGGUGGGGGGUGUUGUGGGCACUCUGCUCCCAGCGUUUGCAGGGUCAGCACCAAUGAUGCCAGUGGAGCCUUGGGCCACUCCGCCGAUCGAGGAAAAGACCUGCCCUCUUUCUGGAAGGACAACUGGAGAGAUGAAAGGUCUUGUUACAUCACUCACACCGACCUGAAACUUCUAGCCCUCCUGCCUCAGUCUCCCGUGUGUGCCACAGCCCAGGCCUGGAACUAGGCAUGGUUGGAGUCAGAAGGGCUGGACUGCCCCAGGUGUGAGGACGCCGCCAUAUGCCAGCAGCCAGUGCACAGCCUGGAGUCCCCGCAGG